GGAAGACCCUGAUUUAUCAUGGGACACAUCAGUCUAUCAUCAUGAUAUGGUGGUCCUGCCUGUCAGCAAAAUCUGGACUCCUGAACUCCAUGUGACUAAUGGAGUGCAAACAACGAUAAAGCACAGCAACAAGGAUUUACUGGUGCACAGCAACGGGACUAUAGAGCACAUGGUCAUCAUGAACACUGUGGUGGGCUGUGAGGUCAAUCUGUACAAUUACCCCUUCGCUUCAGAUUUCUGCCCCAUCGCCAUCAAUGUAUGGGCACUUAAAGGAUGUGGCAUGUUCCUGAACUUUGGGAAUGUGAGCACAACUAGUGCAAACCGUGGAGACUGGCUAACCGAGAACGUGAAACUCGAUGCGAAAGGAGGCAGAGAUGAUCGCAACUAUCUAUGGGUGUCGCUGAAAAUGCGGUCUGAAAACCCGUUUCUGUCCCUGGUCCUGCCCAGUAUACUGAUCAUUGUGGCAGAUGUGGUGAGCUUCUCCCUGCCACUGGGAGGGGCGAGCGUAUCUCAUUCAAGGUUACACUGGUUCUCAGCUUCAUCAUGUUCCUCAUCAUCCUCAACGACCUACUGCCUGGAGGAGGCCAGUGCAGCCCCAUCAUCCGAAAGCACUUCUGUUUCUGUUUGGUCAUCCUGGUGUUGAGCACGUUGCAGUCUAUGGUGCUCACACGCCUGGCUAAGUGUGGCACUCUCUGGCCCUGCAGCCUCUCCAAGUCCAAAGACUCACUACUUAAAGACACAGACAAUGAAGAGGAAUCCAAGUCUGAUAUUAAAGCCUCAGCGGAAGAGAAGAAUACAGCCCUCCAGAAGGUGGUGAAGUUUCUCAACAAAAUGGCUGCACAAGACCAGAAAAAUGCUAUACACCAUCGCUUUGCCAACAAAGUGGACUUGAUCUGUUUCUGUAUCUAUCUCACCAUUCUCAUUGUUUAUGCAGUCGUCAUUUUAUAUUUCUCCUUUGGUUCUCAAUGUAAGAUCAACCAAUUAGAUUUCUGGUCAUAAAUUCUUUAUUCGCUUUUAACAACCAUUUUAAAAAAUAUUGGUGUAUUUGGGUCUUCAGAAGUUUUGCAAGCACAAACAAAAAGCUAGUUGUUUUGCAUUUCUGGGUAAAAUAACUAGAUGUGUUUAUUCUGAAGUAGGGCUUUAACAAUAUUUAUUUAAACAUGUUUAGAACUAGCCAGUCAUAUGUGUAAUAAUACAUUUAGCAAUUAGGGCUCUAAUGAAUACAUGUAAUGGGGACUGUAGUGCUAUAAUCCCCCAGAAUAGAGGCCUAGAACUCUAAUGAAUACAUGUAAUGGGGACUGUAGUAAUAUAAUCCCCCAGAAUAGAGGCCUAGAACUCUAAUGAAUACAUGUAAUGGGGACUGUAGUGCUAUAAUCCCCCAGAAUAGAGGCCUAGAACUCUAAUGAAUACAUGUAAUGGGGACUGUAGUGCUAUAAUCCCCCAGAAUAGAGGCCUAGAACUCUAAUGAAUACAUGUAAUGGAGACUGUAGUGCUAUAAUCCCCCAGAAUAGAGGCCUAGAACUCUAAUGAAUACAUGUAAUGGGGACUGAAGUGCUAUAAUUCCCCCAGAAUAGAGGCCUAGAACUCUAAUGAAUACAUGUAAUGGGGACUGUAGUGAUAUAAUCCCCCAGAAUAGAGGCUUAGAACUCUAAUGAAUACAUGUAAUGGGGACUGAAGCUGUAGUAUUAGUAGUGUGGAAACAAAUUAAUAGUGUGUUAUUUGCUAUAGAGGCAGUGUGAAGGCCUUAUAUUAUCUCCUAACUAAGCAGGUUCUCAACCUCAGGCUGAGAUAUCAAAUAGUCUCUCAAUCAUCUCCUCCACCUGCGCUGGGCUGUAUUUGUGGUAUCUCUCAGGGUGUUUGGAGAAAUCAUGGUCACAUCUGUGUAAAGUACAGGCAAAGGACCAUAAUGAAUAUCACUGUACCAGCGUUCUGUAUGAAAUUCUUACUGCACAUCAAUAUUGGACAGUGGUGAAUAAAAUAACCCAUGUCUUGUACCAAACAUACAUGGGACAUCCCAG
Oncorhynchus tshawytscha (Chinook salmon) is the source of this 2018-nucleotide long non-coding RNA. NCBI's taxonomy places the organism in Eukaryota, Metazoa, Chordata, Actinopteri, Salmoniformes, Salmonidae. The record is from Ensembl.